Molecule: unclassified non-coding RNA, 401 nt
Filed under: soil metagenome
Description: partial contains 5.8S ribosomal RNA, internal transcribed spacer 2, and large subunit ribosomal RNA
Rfam family: 5.8S ribosomal RNA (bases 1-121)
Source: RNAcentral
GAUGAAGAACGUAGCGAAAUGCGAUAAGUAAUGUGAAUUGCAGAAUUCAGUGAAUCAUCGAAUCUUUGAACGCACCUUGCGCCCUUUGGCUAUUCCGAAGGGCAUGCCUGUUUGAGUAUCAUGAACACCUCAACUCUCGUGGUUUGCUACGAUGAGCUUGGACUUUGGGGGUUUUGCUGGCCUGUGGUCGGCUCCUCUCAAAUGAAUCAGCUUCCCAGCGUUUGGUGGAGUCGCAGGUGUGAUAACUAUUUACGCUUGUGGUUUUUCGCCAGAUAACCUUUGGUGACGGAGGUUCGUUGGGGCUCAUAAAUGUAUCUCCUCAGUGAAGACAGCUUUUGAACGUUUGAUCUCAAAUCAGGUAGGACUACCCGCUGAACUUAAGCAUAUCAAUAAGCGGAGGA